RNAcentral lists this ribosomal RNA (535 nucleotides) under Helenozyma melibiosica. RNAcentral's name for it is "[Candida] melibiosica partial large subunit ribosomal RNA". It matches the Rfam family "Eukaryotic large subunit ribosomal RNA", at positions 68 to 675 of the family's 3401-position model. The record is from RNAcentral. Lineage: Eukaryota; Fungi; Ascomycota; Pichiomycetes; Serinales; Metschnikowiaceae.
ACUGCAAUUGCCCAGUAACGGCGAGUGAAGCGGCAAAAGCUCAAUUUUGAAAUCCCCCCGGGGAGUUGUAAUUUGAAGACUAGGGGAUUUGGCCCAAACCUGCGCAAGUCCAUUGGAACAUGGCGCCCAAGAGGGUGAGAGCCCCGUCGCGCAGGCCGCAGCCUUGACAUCCCCCCGUCAAAGAGUCGAGUUGUUUGGGAAUGCAGCUCAAAGUGGGUGGUAAAUUCCAUCUAAAGCUAAAUAUUGGCGAGAGACCGAUAGCGAACAAGUACAGUGAUGGAAAGAUGAAAAGCACUUUGAAAAGAGAGUGAAACAGUACGUGAAAUUGUUGAAAGGGAAGGGCUUGCAAGCAGACACGAGUUCGCUCGGGCCAGCAUCAAUUUCGCGAGGUGGACAACACGCCAGGAAUGUGGCAGGCUCCGGCCUGUGUUAUAGCCUGCGCGCCAUACACCUCCGCGAGAUUGAGGCCUGCUCCAAAAGGAUGCUGGCGUAAUGGUUGCAAGUCGCCCGUCUUGAAMCMACGGAMCCAAAAAUA